Molecule: ribosomal RNA, 238 nt
Filed under: uncultured soil bacterium
Lineage: Bacteria
Description: partial 16S ribosomal RNA
Rfam family: Bacterial small subunit ribosomal RNA
Source: RNAcentral
GGAACGAACGCUGGCGGCAUGCCUAAUACAUGCAAGUCGAACGAACUCUUCGGAGUUAGUGGCGCACGGGUGCGUAACGCGUGGGAAUCUGCCCCUUGGUUCGGAAUAACAGUUGGAAACGACUGCUAAUACCGGAUGAUGACGAAAGUCCAAAGAUUUAUCGCCAAGGGAUGAGCCCGCGUAGGAUUAGCUAGUUGGUGAGGUAAAGGCUCGACCAAGGCAACGAUCCUUAGCUGGU